This 418-nucleotide ribosomal RNA is filed under the name bacterium enrichment culture clone ALO1_GLFRUDD03F0HTL. RNAcentral's name for it is "bacterial SSU rRNA". It matches the Rfam family "Bacterial small subunit ribosomal RNA", at positions 9 to 429 of the family's 1533-position model. The record is from RNAcentral. RNAcentral also lists the same sequence under 33 other names.
GAGUUUGAUCUUGGCUCAGAUUGAACGCUGGCGGCAUGCCUUACACAUGCAAGUCGAACGGCAGCACGGGAGCUUGCUCCUGGUGGCGAGUGGCGAACGGGUGAGUAAUGCAUCGGAACGUAUCCUGGAGUGGGGGAUAACGUAGCGAAAGUUACGCUAAUACCGCAUAUUCUGUGAGCAGGAAAGCGGGGGACCUUCGGGCCUCGCGCUCUUGGAGCGGCCGAUGUCGGAUUAGCUAGUUGGUGAGGUAAAGGCUCACCAAGGCGACGAUCCGUAGCAGGUCUGAGAGGAUGAUCUGCCACACUGGAACUGAGACACGGUCCAGACUCCUACGGGAGGCAGCAGUGGGGAAUUUUGGACAAUGGGGGCAACCCUGAUCCAGCCAUGCCGCGUGAGUGAAGAAGGCCUCGGUUGUAAG